GGGAUAUAUGGACGGGACUAACCAUUCCGGAACCCAUCUGUUAGCAACAGUGGGUGAUGAACAUCUACGGAUGCCUACGGUUAUUACUUAUACUAGGAGUACCUUUACAGGGACUAACCCUUCCUCCGCCCUGCUGCUGCUACAGAGGACAAUUGGACAAUCUUCGGAUGUUCAUUAGGUUAUAUAUGUUGUGUUAGCCCUAGUACCUCGGGAUAACAGUUACAUACGUCGUGUUAGCCCUAGUACCUCGGGAUAACACUUACAUUAGUAAUUUUUCCUGUUUACUUUAUUUUGUGAUACUUUCACAUAA
RNAcentral lists this long non-coding RNA (310 nucleotides) under Lactuca sativa (garden lettuce). RNAcentral describes it as "long non-coding RNA (LSAT_LNC002601)". Lineage: Eukaryota; Viridiplantae; Streptophyta; Magnoliopsida; Asterales; Asteraceae. The record is from RNAcentral.